UCUCUCAUAAUGAUAUGUUUCUACAGAAUGAUUUGUGUUGAUAUUUCUUUAGCAGUAUUUUUUUAACCAGACUUCUUGAUCAGGCUCCUCUUUAAAUAGAAACUCUCAGUUUCUAUCAGCUCGAUGAAUUAAUUGUUUACUUGCCAAGGAGUCUUUUGGAAAAAGAAAAAGAAAAAGAUGCAGUCACACAAAAAUAGAGCGUUACUUUCAGUGAUAUAUUGAGACACAGUUAUCUGUUUAUCGAGCUGUUACCACCUCUGGCUUCAGAAGCUUUCCUGCGAUUGAAAGAGAGGUUUAUGGCAGUGUGACAUCAAUCUCUGUACUGGACUAUAUAUACUCAGUAGGAUGGUGACACAUUUGCAAGCACAACUCCACGAGGCUAGUAGUUCUCUCGUACAAAUAUCAAAGAUGAAAGAUAUCACCAUAUUUAAUCAAGCUUGGAAAUGAUGAGCUCAGACAUUGAACUAAACAAGUUUUUUGCAUUUUGGAGGACUGCUUUUGGCCGAGCAGGAUGGUAGACUUGUGACUGUAGAACUGGAGAAAACUUGCUCUCUUUCUCUCUGCCUCUCAAAGUGCAAAGCACCCAAUUACAAUACAAAUUGAAGAGAAACACCUGAAGUUGAAAGUCAAAAGUUCUGAAAGACUUAAUACUGCUGAGGAUACAAUACUUGAAUUAAACAACCACAGUGCCACAUUAAAACAAUUUUGCCACAAGG
Molecule: long non-coding RNA, 716 nt
Organism: Stegostoma tigrinum
Lineage: Eukaryota; Metazoa; Chordata; Chondrichthyes; Orectolobiformes; Stegostomatidae
Exons: 4
Source: RefSeq, a predicted model, not a curated record